CGAGCGAGAAAGGCCUUCGGGCUGAGUACAGCGGCGGACGGGUGAGUAACGCGUAGGAAUCUACCUGGUAGUGGGGGACAACAUGGGGAAACUCAUGCUAAUACCGCAUACGCCCUAUGGGGGAAAGCGGGGGACCUUCGGGCCUCGCGCUAUCAGAUGAGCCUGCGUAGGAUUAGCUUGUUGGUGAGGUAAAGGCUCACCAAGGCGACGAUCCUUAGCUGGUCUGAGAGGAUGAUCAGCCACACUGGAACUGAGACACGGUCCAGACUCCUACGGGAGGCAGCAGUGGGGAAUAUUGCGCAAUGGGCGAAAGCCUGACGCAGCCAUGCCGCGUGUGUGAAGAAGGCCUUCGGGUUGUAAAGCACUUUCAAUUGGGAAGAAAGGUUGCGUGUUAAUAGCACGUAGCUGUGACGUUACCUUUAGAAGAAGCACCGGCUAACUCCGUGCCAGCAGCCGCGGUAAUACGGAGGGUGCGAGCGUUAAUCGGAAUUACUGGGCGUAAAGCGCGCGUAGGCGGUUUGUUAAGUCGGAUGUGAAAGCCCCGGGCUCAACCUGGGAAUUGCAUUCGAUACUGGCCGACUAGAGUACGAGAGAGGGAGGUAGAAUUCCACGUGUAGCGGUGAAAUGCGUAGAUAUGUGGAGGAAUACCGGUGGCGAAGGCGGCCUCCUGGCUCGAUACUGACGCUGAGGUGCGAAAGCGUGGGUAGCAAACAGGAUUAGAUACCCUGGUAGUCCACGCCGUAAACGAUGUCUACUAGCCGUUGGGAGACUUGAUUUCUUAGUGGCGCAGCUAACGCACUAAGUAGACCGCCUGGGGGAGUACGGCCGCAAGGUUAAAACUC
This 842-nucleotide ribosomal RNA is filed under the name Parahaliea mediterranea. RNAcentral's name for it is "bacterial SSU rRNA". It matches the Rfam family "Bacterial small subunit ribosomal RNA", at positions 63 to 902 of the family's 1533-position model. The record is from RNAcentral. Lineage: Bacteria; Pseudomonadati; Pseudomonadota; Gammaproteobacteria; Cellvibrionales; Halieaceae.